UGGAGGCACUGCCUGCCCAGUGACUAAACGUUAAACGGCCGCGGUAUUCUGACCGUGCAAAGGUAGCAUAAUCAUUUGUUCUCUAAAUAAGGACUUGUAUGAAUGGCCACACGAGGGUUUUACUGUCUCUUACUUCCAAUCAGUGAAAUUGACCUCCCCGUGAAGAGGCGGGGAUAAAUCAACAAGACGAGAAGACCCUAUGGAGCUUUAACUAAGUAACUCAAGGAAAAUAAAUUCAACCACCAAGGGAUAACAACACUCCUUAUGAGUUAACAGUUUCGGUUGGGGUGACCUCGGAGAACAGAAAAUCCUCCGAGCGAUUUUAAAGACUAGACUAACAAGUCAAACCAAACCAUCGCUUAUUGAUCCAAAAACUUGAUCAACGGAACAAGUUACCCUAGGGAUAACAGCGCAAUCCUAUUCAAGAGUCCAUAUCGACAAUAGGGUUUACGACCUCGAUGUUGGAUCAGGACACCCCGAUGGUGCAACCGCUAUCAAA
This 499-nucleotide ribosomal RNA is filed under the name Ovis aries (sheep). Its description in RNAcentral is "partial large subunit ribosomal RNA". It matches the Rfam family "Bacterial large subunit ribosomal RNA", at positions 1847 to 2569 of the family's 2925-position model. Lineage: Eukaryota; Metazoa; Chordata; Mammalia; Artiodactyla; Bovidae. The record is from RNAcentral.